RNAcentral lists this ribosomal RNA (256 nucleotides) under uncultured bacterium. Its description in RNAcentral is "partial 16S ribosomal RNA". It matches the Rfam family "Bacterial small subunit ribosomal RNA", at positions 524 to 776 of the family's 1533-position model. The record is from RNAcentral.
UACGAAGGGGGGCUAGCGUUACUCGGAAUUACUGGGCGUAAAGGGCGCGUAGGCGGCGUUCCAAGUUAGGCGUGAAAGUCCUGGGCUCAACCUGGGAACUGCGCUUAAGACUGGAAUGCUAGAGGAUGGAAGAGGGUUGUGGAAUUCCCCAGUGUAGAGGUGAAAUUCGUAGAUAUUGGGAAGAACACCGGUGGCGAAGGCGGCAACCUGGUCCAUUUCUGACGCUGAGGCGCGAUAGCGUGGGGGAGCAAACAGG